Non-coding RNA from Trichobilharzia regenti, 45 nucleotides. Lineage: Eukaryota; Metazoa; Platyhelminthes; Trematoda; Strigeidida; Schistosomatidae. The record is from Rfam.
AUCCAGCUGACGAAUCCCAAAUAGGACGAAAUGCGCAUCCUGGAU